GGUCGGCGACUAGUCUUGCGGCGGAGCCACCGCGGGGACCUCGCCCGCGGCGGAAUCUCAGAUGAUGCCUCAAAUCCCGGCCGCCGGCUGCAGGAUCGCCAUAUAAUAGCCUGAGUUGCCUUCUCGUCCCGCGAUCGCCCAGCCGACACGAUGGUGAGCCUGAUCCCUGAGCAAAAACUGUAGUAAAGAAGCAAUGGUCCACGAGGAAGUAAUGUAGAAGAGGAGCAUUGACUUCAGAAAGAAGGUGCAAAACUCCAAAGGCCUUUAUUUGGCACAACUGGGAUAACCAAGAACUUGAUUUUCAGCGCCUCCUGGCAGCAGUCUCUCUCUGACAAUUGAAGUAAACAGCAGCCACAGGGAGGCCAAGAUCAUUAUCCACAGCAAACUGGCGGGUGUUGAAAUGAUCCCUGAAGGAAGGCACAGAUACAGUCUGCCUUCGCUUCUGCUUGAAGAGCACAAAAAUGAACCUGUGGAUUCCAAUGUUGGGCUUUGGGCUCUCAUAGCUUAUGACCUCCCCCCCUGCAAUUCAAAAGGAGAAUGAUUAUUCAUUCAAAAUGCAGAACAUAGAAUAUACCAAUUCAAAUCUCAGAGAAGGACCUACCAAAUGAAGCAUCUGUUGUCCCGGGUAUAUUACUGACAAUCCUGUGUAAGUGCAAAAGGUAUUGGUAAAUGACUCUCAUUGGAAGUGCUGGUAAAAUAGUCUCUGUGUCUAUAUGUGCAAGAAGAAGAUGUACUGAUAUCUUCCUUAGUAACAUAUACUAAUAUAUUUAGGUGCUUAGUAGCCACCCAGCAGAAAAAACUGUGCAUGAGAAAGGUUACCAGUGAAGAUGCUCCCGUAGAUAUGGAUCACUUGGUCCUGGCACAUCUGGGUCCGUCAUAACCUGAAAUAUGAAUAAUUAUGGUCACUGCAAAAGAGAAAACAAGCAUUCAAUACUUGAAGUUGAAUAUGGAGUUCCAAGAGUCGAGUGCAUUCUACCAAUGUGAAUAAGGAUCUCAAGUCACCCCCCUGAACCUCUACUCUUGGUUUAGAUACAACUGCUGAUGGGUAGAGCUCAUGGCCAUUGAAGACCAGCUUGUUUGAGUUAUAGGUUGCCACCAUCUUCACACAUGGGUUAAAUGGAUCGAGAACUUCUCCAAUGACACGCCCAACAAUAAGAGGCUCCACAGACCUAGACAUGGUUGGAGAGGCAAGUAUUUCUAUAUUGCACGGUGAAUGCUCUAUCUGGUUGUAGCAAAGCUUUGAAGUGGCUUGGGCUGCUUACUGGGCAUUGCUAGAGUACGACGAGCCUCUACUUAUAGAGGCAAGAAGCCUGCUUCGAGUGUAAGCUCAAAAGAGAAUGUGAAACAUGAGUAGUAUGUGUGUUCUUUUUUGGUUGGGUAUGCGUGGAAAGAACCGAAAAGGCCACAGAAAGGAUCUAACCACUUUUUCCGAGACAGCCAACCAAGGGUCUUGUUUCUUUUCUAUCAGUUGCACAGUGUUGGAGUUUGGAGUAAUACUUCAUGCAUCUUCUUCCAAGUUCUAGGGACAAAGACUUUUUUCACCACAAACAUGAGAUACUAACUACAAUAAUAAAAUUUGCACAAUUGUUUGAUUUUGAUUUUUAGUAUAUCUCUAUUCUGUUUUUAUUUUAGUUAUUGAUAGUUAAAAAAUACUGAUUUUUUUUACUUGAUUAAAUGGAAACCUUUUCAAGUUGAUGGUUUCCCACCUUAUAGUCCUCAAAAAAGGUAUUGUAGAUCACUACCUACAUGUUAUUUCUUUAGGAAACAUAGCACACCUUCAUGCAAGUGGGUCUCUGAAGAUUAUGUUGCUGAACUAUCUUAAUAUUGGUUAGGACAAACGACAAAGUGCUGGUACUCCUAUCCUAGUUUAUGCAUGACAAUGUGCGGAUUUUGAUGCUUAGUUUUGCAAAUUAUCAUGCUGUUGUGUAUAAUUAUUUCUGUAUUCUACCAGAAGGAAAUCGGAUGAGGAGUCCGAAAUUACAGAACAAUGCAUUUUCAUGCUAAAAUACUUCAGUUCUAAAAAGAUCUAGAUGUAAUUGUUCGCAGCAAGUUAGGAAGUAUGCCCUUGUGGAGCAAAUGAAAAAGAAAGGGAAUAAAACACUUUGGAGUGAUGCUUUCCUAAACUAUCAAUUCGUUUUUGCAUACUUUAUUUGAUGUUUGCUUGCAGAAAUUUAAGGUCUGGCUUUCUGAUAUUCUUAUCCUCUUGUUUUGUAACUAUUAUUUAUGUGUUAUCUAGUGGACAGAAACAUGCGGCACUGUCCACGUGGAAGCCUCUUCACCCUCGAAUGUUCGUCUUUAUAGCGUUGUUGGUUUAGUGUAUGGAUGCAUUUGAAAAGGACAGCAGCACCAGCACCAGCAGCUUGGACAAGUUGCGAUUGAAGCUUUGUGGAGUCCAAGUCGGUGAAGAGAAUAUAGUCUCAGAGAUGGUGAUGUUUUCUGUUUGCUGUCAUAACCGUUACCCGACACCUUUGGAUCGCUUCAGCGAAAAGGAGCCGCCCACCAAUCUUGAGUCCCUCAAGUUGGAGAGUGGUAAGUAACACAUGAAUGCACAUUGGUGGGAAGAUCAUUGUGGGCCAAUUGUUGAGGAGGCAAUGAGAUACUCCGAUGAUGACAGUGAGACUACAGCGGGUGGAUAUGAUGUUCCACAGAAUCUCCAUGGGUGUCUGUGUCACCUGCUGAUUGAGUACGAGUCAGCACCCCAGCACACAAGAUGUCACUACCGCCUGGGUUGACAACAGCCUGUGGAUUGUGUUUUGUUCAUGGAUGAGGUGGUCAAUAGCCAAAAGUCAUGAAAAUGUAAUUUUUUGCCGCACUUGACGGCAAACCAAUGGUUAAUUGCAAUGCUAAUGUAUACUCUUCUAAGUAAUCUUCAAAUGUCAACCUGCAAUUGCCGACACAACGAGAGGCUCUUCACCCAGGUUCAGAACAUAUAUAUGUCCAUCUUUCUUCAGAUAA
Lolium rigidum is the source of this 2955-nucleotide RNA transcript. RefSeq lists it as uncharacterized. Lineage: Eukaryota; Viridiplantae; Streptophyta; Magnoliopsida; Poales; Poaceae. The record is from RefSeq and is a predicted model, not a curated record. The transcript has 4 exons.